This 2947-nucleotide unclassified non-coding RNA is filed under the name Hevea brasiliensis (rubber tree). Lineage: Eukaryota; Viridiplantae; Streptophyta; Magnoliopsida; Malpighiales; Euphorbiaceae. The record is from RNAcentral.
CUAGAAAAUGAAAGAGAAAGUAGAGUUACUACUAAGAACAGGAAAAAAAAGUUAGAGGGCCUAUCACAAGCUCAAAUCUAUUUGCUCUGUGAUCUCCAAAAACUAAAAUAUGGGGCUUCACCAAAACAUGUCCAAAAAUUGGACAUGCAUUUUUUUGGGAUACAUCACAUAUAAACUAGCAUAAGAUGUGUUAAAUAACAUAGCAAAUUUACUGAAUGAAUAUACAUUUUAGAAAUUGACUAGCAUCAGAUUUUUGACCUUGAUAAAAAUUACUUUUAAAAUCUAAAGACUUGACCUGAGUGGAACUAUUGAUUUGCAUUUAGGUGUGAAAUUGUAAAUGAUGAAAAGGUAAUAAAUAUCUCCUUUAAAUGGUGUAGCUUUGAAGAAUGGUAACUCCUACACAUUCAAGCUGAUCAAUUAAACCCAAACAUAUUUACGUUCUACCUGUAGUCAAUCCUAACACCAUAAACAUUAUUUACCUUCUAUCUCCAGUCAAUUCUAACAUCAUAAACAUUAUUCACCAGCAGCACUUAAUAGGUUGGGGUGACACUGACAAAAAAAAGUUCGAGCAAACCAUGAACAAGUCUAUCAGCAGAAAGAACAAGGAGAAGCUAGCUCCUUCUCCCACCAUUUUCUCUCUCCAGCUCAGUGAAAUCCUCUCUCCCUCACUCUCUCUCUCUCUCCCUCCCCCCAACCCUCCUUUUGAAAGAAAAAAGGUUUCUCCCAAAACGUUGCUGUGCCAUUUUGACAUGGGUACUCCAGGUGAAAUUGCAGAGUAGUAACAAAUGCUUAGACAGACCGGAAAGAAUAUAACAAAGACAAAGGCCAAACAAAUUUAAGUAUGAGUUACACUUGUUCAGAACCUGAAGAUCAAUAUCCUUUUUGGGACAAAAGUACAAAAAGAAUCAGGUGAAUGAGAAACCAGAAUACAAAGUUUAACUUGGUUAGCAAGAGAUUCCACAAUAGAAAAUGAUCUAUUAUAGUGAUUAAACAUAGAGGAAAUGUUACUAAUAAACUCUGGACAAUUUAUAGCAUUCCCAAAUUCCUUUUAGGUAUCUCAGAUUGUUAAUACUGUUACUUUUAUCUAUUAGUUGAAUGUGACAGAAAACUCCUCUGAUUUCUCAUUUCCAUUACAUCUCAUUGUCUUCCUUCUCUGGCUGACCAUAGAGAUCUCAUCUCUCUGUCUCAUAAGUUUGAGCUAAGAAUACAAUAAACAGAUUUAAUGAACAACAGAGGCAAGAAGUGUUGCUUUACCAUGAUUCAGGCAGUACUUCUGCCAAGAUCUUAUCAAACACAAUCUAGAAAACUCUUGAGUUAUAUCUAAUCACAUGACAAUCAAAAUACAGCAAUAAACAAUUUGGUACUGGUGGUACUGGUACAGGUUAAAUUGCUUGAAUGCUUUGAAUUCUUUUUAUUGGUUUUAAUCUUGCACUGCAAUAAGGUGAAAUUCAAUAAAUAUAUGUAUUUUAAGGACACCACGAUCUAUAUUUGUCCUACAAUUAUGGACAUUACCAAAUCACCUGAUUCAGCACUAAGUAUUGGUUUCAGCAACAAAAGGAGAACAACACAAAAUAAAAUAGUAUAAAACCUUUUGAAAAGAUGUUAUGGUGCCUAUAAUGAAUUGGCAAAUCCGUAUAAGGUUCUUCCAUUUAAGUUGCAAGGAUAUUAAAAUAAAAAACAGAAACAAAAAAGAAAACAUAAACCUAAAUGGACAAAUUCUAAAGACUAGAACUUGAGAAUUUGGAAGCAAUUUAAUGGUUUAAAUGCCUGUAAAUUUCUUUAAAGUGAUACGUUGCUUCAUGUGAUAUGACAGAUUAACAUUGUAGGAAUCGCAUUAUCAUGUGUACCUCGCUUUCUUGUUUAAAGUGACAUUAUGGAAUAUUGGAACUAAAGCCAUAAACAGUGUCAAAAUGAAGAUUAUUCUUUCACGGCAAAAUGAAAACAGUACUGAAGUUUAAUUCUUUAUAUCCUACACACUAAAUUUCAGAAUCAUCAAAUUGGCAUCAAACAAACACAAAAUUACCUGCUAUUAAUGACAUCAAUCUCGUGAAGCGUCACACAAUGCACCACCUCUUUCCUCUUCUGCAGCUCACCAUCGGGGCACUGAACAAACUUCACCUGCGGACCCAUGGCAUCGUAGUCCCUCGACCGUGAAAAUGACCUCCCAAGCUUUGUAAUUUUUCCAGACGCCUUAUCGAUUGCAAUUACAUCUCCACUUUGAACUUUUUCCUUCCCCAAUGCUUCUAUCAUCUUCGCCCCCAAAUCAUAAACCGUCUCCAUUUCGGUCGUUUUUAGUGUCAAUUUCCCUGUCUUCGACGCUGCACCAGCUACUGCCGGCCUAUCGAUUUGCACUUCAACGACUUCGCCUUCGAUUAUCUCGGUUUCUUCUUUAAUUCUCACGCCAAUUGCUUUUCGAAAGGCUUGCAUUAGUGCUUCGGUUUUAGACAUCUCCAACGAGAAGAUUUCGCUGCCAGAGAUCAUAGCGAAUGGGGUUUCGAGGCCAAGCGAUUUCGCCAUGCCCAUUGCAAUUGCUGUUUUUCCGGUACCCGGCUGGCCCGCCAGAAGAACGGCUCGACCGGCUAUUUUCCCAUCCUUUAUCAUCUGUAGGAUGACGCCGGCGGCCUUUCUGGCUGCAGUCUGGCCAACCAUGCCCUCGGAGACAGCGCGGGGUUCAAGGGCCGAGUCAAGACCAAGUCCACGGAUGUGGGAGUGGGCGCCUAUGCGCUCAAUUCGGGUCAGGUCUCGGCUUUCAGAGAGCUUGAGUUCAGCCAUGGUGAUGGUUGUCACGGAGGGGAAGUUCGAGACGGAGAUAAUUAGGGUUUAGGGUUGUCUCAGGGCUUCAGUCCGCUGCACGUAGCUGCCGAGUGGGAGCCCAACUCAAACGAAUGAUAAAUUUGAAAUUUUUAUGAGGUACCAAACAAAAAAUAUUUUAAAGGAAAAAAAUCAU